RNAcentral lists this ribosomal RNA (433 nucleotides) under uncultured bacterium. RNAcentral's name for it is "partial 16S ribosomal RNA". It matches the Rfam family "Bacterial small subunit ribosomal RNA", at positions 29 to 507 of the family's 1533-position model. The record is from RNAcentral.
UACGAACGCUGGCGGCAGGCCUAACACAUGCAAGUCGAGCCGACCUUUCGGGGUCAGCGGCGGACGGGCGAGUACCGUGUGGGCAUAUGCCCUUCUCUACGGUUUAGUCCUGGGAAAUUGGGGGUUAUACCGCAUACGCCCCUUGGGGGAAUGAUCUAUCGAGGAAGUAUUAGCCCGCGUUGGAUUAGGUAGUUGGUGAGGUAAUGGCCUACCAAGCCGACGAUCCAUAGCUGGUUUGAGCGGAUGAUCAGCUACACUGUGACUGCGACACGGCCCAGUCUCCUACGGGAUGCAGCAGUGGGGAAUCUUAGACAAUGGGCACAACUCUGAUCUAGCCACGCCGCGUGAGUGAUGAAUGCCUUAGAGUUGUAAUGCCCUUUCAGCUGGCAAGUUAAUGACAGUAACUGCAAAAGAAGCCCCGGCUAGCUCCGUA